Molecule: ribosomal RNA, 427 nt
Filed under: uncultured bacterium
Lineage: Bacteria
Description: partial 16S ribosomal RNA
Rfam family: Bacterial small subunit ribosomal RNA
Source: RNAcentral
UGGGGAAUAUUGCACAAUGGGCGCAAGCCUGAUGCAGCCAUGCCGCGUGUAUGAAGAAGGCCUUCGGGUUGUAAAGUACUUUCAGCGGGGAGGAAGGCGAUAAGGUUAAUAACCUUGUCGAUUGACGUUACCCGCAGAAGAAGCACCGGCUAACUCCGUGCCAGCAGCCGCGGUAAUACGGAGGGUGCAAGCGUUAAUCGGAAUUACUGGGCGUAAAGCGCACGCAGGCGGUCUGUCAAGUCGGAUGUGAAAUCCCCGGGCUCAACCUGGGAACUGCAUUCGAAACUGGCAGGCUAGAGUCUUGUAGAGGGGGGUAGAAUUCCAGGUGUAGCGGUGAAAUGCGUAGAGAUCUGGAGGAAUACCGGUGGCGAAGGCGGCCCUCUGGACAAAGACUGACGCUCAGGUGCGAAAGCGUGGGGAGCAAACA